GACGAACGCUGGCGGCGUGCUUAACACAUGCAGGUCGAACGGAAAGGCCCUGCUUUUGUGGGGUGCUCGAGUGGCGAACGGGUGAGUAACACGUGAGUAACCUGCCCUUGACUUUGGGAUAACUUCAGGAAACUGGGGCUAAUACCGGAUAGGAGCUCCUGCUGCAUGGUGGGGGUUGGAAAGUUUCGGCGGUUGGGGAUGGACUCGCGGCUUAUCAGCUUGUUGGUGGGGUAGUGGCUUACCAAGGCUUUGACGGGUAGCCGGCCUGGGAGGGUGACCGGCCACAUUGGGACUGAGAUACGGCCCAGACUCCUACGGGAGGCAGCAGUGGGGAAUAUUGCACAAUGGGCGGAAGCCUGAUGCAGCAACGCCGCGUGCGGGAUGACGGCCUUCGGGUUGUAAACCGCUUUCGCCUGUGACGAAGCGUGAGUGACGGUAAUGGGUAAAGAAGCACCGGCUAACUACGUG
RNAcentral lists this ribosomal RNA (468 nucleotides) under uncultured bacterium. RNAcentral describes it as "partial 16S ribosomal RNA". It matches the Rfam family "Bacterial small subunit ribosomal RNA", at positions 28 to 507 of the family's 1533-position model. The record is from RNAcentral.